UGUGGUAUGUCAUUGUCCAUGUCUGUUCCACAUCUUACUCACCAGUCAUAGUUUAUUUCCAGUUUUAGGUUUAUUCAAGCGUUUCUUUGUUACUUUGGUUAUCUGUUGUGGGACUUCGUUUAGUUUUCUUUAUCCAUGUUCCAUGUUAAAUAUAAUAUAUUUUUUAGACUCCUGCACUCCUGCCUUGCCUCCCUGCUUCCCUGCAUUUGGGUCCUACAUGUUUUUGCCUUGCCUUCCUCGCCUUUGAAAACCCCAACCGUGACACAGAUGACAGUAAAAAUAAGGCGAUGUGGUGAGCUGGGUGGAGUGAGCAAGGAGGUGCCCACCUGGGAGCAAUGGGCAAUCAGCUCUCAAUCUUAAGCACUUCAGCUUUGGGGUCCUACCAGUUACAAACCCUAACAGGUUUGUACAGGAGUGGAGAGACGAGUUGGAGCCGGGACCAGCCGUUAUUAUCAACGGUGUACUUAAGCCGGUCCCUAACGCCACCUCGUCACCAGAUCGUCUCGUAUAGUCAUACUGUCAGUCGCAUCUCACUCAUGAAGUCGUUUGUACUUAACAGAAAGAUCCUGGUGAGGCUUUUCCCUUGCCACCCAGAACCUCCACACUUACUUCUCUGCCUGCCCGUGGAUUCCCUUGACUGGCUGAGUCUCAGCAGCCAAGGUGCUCUUGUGUCCUCUACUUUAAUUAAAUCACUGUCGGGUUUGAUAAUUUAUUUCUAAGCACUGACUCUGUACAAUUGACAGUUGUCAUUAAAGGUUAUCUUUCACA
Molecule: long non-coding RNA, 768 nt
Organism: Phyllopteryx taeniolatus (common seadragon)
Lineage: Eukaryota; Metazoa; Chordata; Actinopteri; Syngnathiformes; Syngnathidae
Exons: 4
Source: RefSeq, a predicted model, not a curated record